This is a non-coding RNA of Petromyzon marinus (sea lamprey), 1450 nucleotides long. The record is from RefSeq and is a predicted model, not a curated record. NCBI's taxonomy places the organism in Eukaryota, Metazoa, Chordata, Hyperoartia, Petromyzontiformes, Petromyzontidae.
UGGUGGUGGUUCACUAUUCACGACGUUAAUGUGUGUUGGUGGUUGUGUGUCUGUGUGUGGUUUAUUAUCGAUGCGUUGUUGAAGAUGGAGCGGGCCGCGUUAUACGCUAAGGGCCCUCAGGCCUACGAAGACCGCUUUGUUUAUAUUUAGUUAAUGUAAUCAAGAUAUGUUCUAGAAUUAAUGUUUAUAUAUGUAGCAAUCAUAGUGCACGCUUUGUGUGUGCUUUAGUAUCGAUGCGUUGCUGUUGAAGAUGGAGCGGGCCGCGUUAUACGCUCGGGCCUUCAGGCCUACGAGGACCGCUUUGUUUAUAUUUAGUUAAAAAUAUAACUAAGGUGUGUUCUAGAAUUAAUGUUUAUAUAUGUGGCAAUCACAGUGCACACUUUGUGUGUGGUUGAGUUAUCGAUGCGUUGUUGUUGAAGAUGGAGCGGGCCCCGUUAUUCGCUCGGGCCUUCAGGCCUACGAGGACCGCUUUGUUUAUAUUUAGUUAAAAAUAUAACCAAGGUGUGUUCUAGAAUUAAUGUUUAUAUAUGUAGCAAUCAUAGUGCACACUUUGUGUGUGGUUUAGUUAUCGAUGCGUUGUUGUUGUUGAAGAUGGAGCGGGCCGCGUUAUACGCUAAAGGCCUCAGGCCUAAGGAAACUUGUGACCGCAAUGUGUUUACAUAAAUAAAGAUAGUUUAUAUGUUGUUACAAAAGUGUGACCGAGCUAACUUCGACGAUUAAUAUUUAAUAAUAUGUGUAGCAGGGAUGGUGCUUCCUGCUUUGUGUGGGUUUUUUUAAGUAUAUCGAUGCGUUAAUGGCUCCACGUGUUGGCUCGUUAAAUGUUUUAACGAAAGACAAUUAUUGAAAUGAGUAAGAAUUGCUACAUUUGGCAAAGGCGUGUUAGUGCAUACUGUGUGGUGUCGUUGAUUAUUUAAUGGGUGUGAAGAUGCAGUAGUUGGGGAAAUAGUUACUCCACGUUGUGGUUUUGAUGCUAACAAAGUAACGAGAUUUAUUAAUGUUUACGGAUGGCAAUGAUGUUUCCGUGUGCGUGUGUGUUUAUCGCUGCGUUUUUAUCCGCGUCAAUAUCAAGCCGGACACGUUCCGUGCUUAUUUAAUAGACAACACCGCGCUUGGUAAAGAUAUUUUAAAAUAAUCGUUUUAAUCUUAAUUAAAAAUGACCCUGGGUCCAUUUUCGGAAAACUUAGCCCUUUAAUUAAAAUACUUAUUUACAUGAUUCAUCGCCCCUACUCGCGACAUAAACAUUUAAGCUAUUGUGUUGUCAUUAAAAAGGGGUACGUUGAGACGUAUUUUAAGGUAAUUCUUUAACGCGAUUAACGUCUGCGUGGCGUAUCAAAAAAUAUAUAAUUAUAUAGACAUGCCAAGUGGUGAGCAAAGCAUAAGCGUCUUUAGAAAUGCGUGCGACGCAUCUUGGCGUGUGGAGUUUGUCGGUAGAAUGUUGUUUCUUGAGUAA